GAUGAACGCUAGCGGCAGGCUUAACACAUGCAAGUCGAGGGGUAGAAGGAGCUUGCUCCUUUGAGACCGGCGCACGGGUGCGUAACGCGUAUGCAAUCUACCUCUUGCAGAGGGAUAGCCCAGAGAAAUUUGGAUUAAUACCUCAUAGUAUGUGAGGAUGGCAUCAUUUUCACAUUAAAGUCACAACGGCAAAAGAUGAGCAUGCGUCCCAUUAGCUAGUUGGUAAGGUAACGGCUUACCAAGGCUACGAUGGGUAGGGGUCCUGAGAGGGAGAUCCCCCACACUGGUACUGAGACACGGACCAGACUCCUACGGGAGGCAGCAGUGAGGAAUAUUGGACAAUGGGCGCAAGCCUGAUCCAGCCAUGCCGCGUGCAGGAUGACGGUCCUAUGGAUUGUAAACUGCUUUUGUACAGGAAGAAACACUGGUUCGUGAACCAGCUUGACGGUACUGUAAG
Molecule: ribosomal RNA, 457 nt
Filed under: uncultured bacterium
Lineage: Bacteria
Description: bacterial SSU rRNA
Rfam family: Bacterial small subunit ribosomal RNA
Source: RNAcentral